UAAAAUAGAGGAAAUUGAAGAGAAGUAUCUUAAUGCAGAUGAAGAGCAAAAGGGAUACUUACAGAUGUAAGAGUUAGACGACCACCCAAGAGAUUUGAGGAUUAUGUCGUAUAAUAUGGUAGUAGAUGUAAUAGAUACAAUAGCUAUAGAAUCUACAGGAAUGCUUAAAGACAAGUUAGGAGGUAUUAAUUUUUAAUGAUUUAUGUGGUGCUAAUAUUGGUGCUUUAAGAUUAAGCUGAAGAAUUGAGUUUUAGUCGUACUACCCUGUUAUGAGGUUUAAUAUGAAGAUUUUGAUGAAGCCUAUGCCUUGGCCAGGAUAGGAUGUGAAUUUGAUGAAUCCUAGCUUAGAGUUAGUAGAAUAACUGUUAGGAUUGAGAAUGAUUGUUGUUCCUUAUGAAUGGGUCGUGAGGACACCUGGAUAUAGUAAGAUCGAGGACAUUCUUAUGAAUGUUAUUCUGACUUAUAUUAUUGACUUGUAUAUUAUACUAUAUAUUUAGAUCUAUUUGAAUUCUCGAAAACAAAUUGCUAGGGAUAUAGGUUAAGGAGUUGUAAGAAUAAAUAUCUACCUGAAGGUCCCCAAUCAGUUGUGUAUGGCUAAAUGUGGACCCAGUAGAGCACUAAGCUAGAGUAUUUAAUGCUCAAUGAUGCAAGAAGUGCAAGGUCGGAAACAGUUAGUACAUACUCUGAUUCUCUAUAGGGCUGGGGAAGUUGAUGUGAUUUCUUGCAACAGUUAGAGCCUGUCAAUGUAUAAAGUUCAGAUUCUCUGGCUGUAUUUUGGUAGAGUGACCCAGUAUUGUAUGACAUAACGAUACAAAAUUUAUAAGGAACGGGUGUAUACAAUCUAGUGACAUGUCUAACCUCCUCGAGCACCAGAAUGUGUAACAUUUCUGAAUACAGCAGAAAAGGAGUGAACAAGACAUAUGUGUUGUUAUAUUGGUAUUGACGGAUAACUUGAAAUGUGAUUUAUGAUAAGGGUAGUAUACUUGAUUGUGAUGAAUUUGUUCCUAUAUUUUUUUUGUACGACGAAUUUUGGUCUCCCCUAACCCCAAAGGUGUGUAACGAGCACAAGGGAUGUGAAUUUAGAAUGACCCAAAAUUCGUCUAGAAACCCCCCUGUAUACACCUCACUUAGUCUUUAUGCAUAUGUAUUAUUUAAGUAUACCUCAGUUUUUUAGCUUUAAUUAUUUGAGAAAAAGGUACUUUAUUAUUUUUCUAGAAAGAUGAUAUUUUAUUUUAAUAGUUUUACAUGAAAUUCUAUAUAUUCCAAUAUUAUAUUUUUUCUAAGAUAAGAAAAUUGUAAAAUAUGAUAGUCUACCCUACAAAGUAUAAGCUUUUUUGUUACCCCCACCAUACAUUCUCUUUAUUUAAAGGGUACGCUAUUAUAUUACAAUAGUAUUAUUAUAUUAAGGUUGUAUAAUUGAUAUUUUUGUAAAGAAAACCAUAUAUAUUAUUUUUGUUAAUGGAAGGAUCCAUUUAAGUUCUGAAAAUUAUGCAUGUAUAGAUUAAGAAGGACUGUAUAAGUGUAAUAUAUGUGAUCUGAGUAGACUUUAAAAUUCAAAGUAUAUACAGUGCUAAAUCCUGAAAACAUAGCUAUAAUCAUAGAGAGAGAGAUCGAGAUCAGAGAGGAGUGCCAUACAGCAGCCUGAAAGAGUAUUUGAUUAUCGUGAAAUAUCUGAGCUCGAGGCUGGCACAUGGCACAUGGCUCUUGAAUAACAUCCGAUGUGUCUCUCUUGUUUAUAAGAAUUUAAAACCCAUUCAAAGAGAGUGGGUUUUUUUUUUUUGUUUCUUUGUUUUGUUUUGUUUUAUUUUUUUAUGGUUUGUUUGGUUCUUCUGAAGUUGUGAUUUAUGCGUCCCUGGGGCUGUGAACCAGAAUGAAAGAGCCCAGGACAUUGAUGAAGACAAGGAAAGAAGACACCUGAGAAGAACCAGAAGAAUAAAAGUGACAGGUUGGAAUACAACCAUUUGGGACAUUUAUUUUUGUAGAUGAAAGUUUAUUUUACUGUAGAUGUGUAAUGAUAUUUAACUCAAUAUAUCAACAACAAGUGUAAACUUA
Long non-coding RNA from Penaeus indicus, 2052 nucleotides. RefSeq lists it as uncharacterized. The record is from RefSeq and is a predicted model, not a curated record. The transcript is spliced from 3 exons. NCBI's taxonomy places the organism in Eukaryota, Metazoa, Arthropoda, Malacostraca, Decapoda, Penaeidae.